Molecule: long non-coding RNA, 1676 nt
Organism: Grus americana (Whooping crane)
Lineage: Eukaryota; Metazoa; Chordata; Aves; Gruiformes; Gruidae
Exons: 5
Source: RefSeq, a predicted model, not a curated record
GGAAAGAAAUAUCUAGGAUAAAAUUUCUUUUUUCCUAAUUUUAGAUUUAGGGGCACCUUGAAAUUCAGACUAACUUUGGAAAGCCUCCCUCACCCUUUCUUACCUCCAUCUUGUUGUUAUGGCUGAUAACAGGGUGACUUCAAGUUUUACACCAGAAAGAAUAUUAUUUAGCAGAAAAGGCUGAAAGACCAACCUAUUUUGUUUGAAAGGUGAUUUUGAUAGCUUCCACAACUGCUGAUCAGGUAACAAUGAGUCCAUCUCGAAGAGUUGUGUACAUUGUAAACACCGGCCCCGUGUGAGCUUUUGCCACAAGUCGAAUCAGAAAAUGGUCCUUCCAGACGUAGACAUCUCCGUUUAUGGCACCAGUAAAUGUAAUUUCUGUGGGGUUUCUGGAUGAAGCAGAAGCUAUUUCAGCAUCACGUUUUUCAGGUUGAGGGGCAGCUCUGCUAACUGGUGGCCUGAAACAAACAUUUAAAAAAGACGACAAUCAACACCUUGGAAAGCAAAUCAAAACCUUCAAAACAUAGCAUAUGUUUUGUAUGCAAACAGGAGAUGGCCAGUUGCAACUAUAUGAACUCAAGGCCUGCUUCUUUCUAGAGUUGUACAAUAAACUGACUAAAAUCAUACGCAUUUUGAUGGAAAGAGCAGAAAUAACAUUGAUGUAGAUUUUGUGGAUGAGUGGCAGAUCAGACCACCAUACAGCAAUUUUUUUUUUUAAACCAUAAUGAUUUAAAUCCAUGGGAAAAUCCUUGAAUACUAAAUGAUAGUAAAUUGUUGCUUUCAGAAACGAUCAAAAAGAUUUUCUAUAGCUGUCAGCUGACCUUUCCCCAACCUUGCCUCUUCUGAGAAACUCUGUCACAAAACCUUGACAAGACUUUAUUAAAAUCUUCUCAAAAAUCAUGUUGGAGAUAAAAUUAUUACAUUUUAAAAUGUACAAGUCAUUCAUCCAUGUGAAUUUAACACAGACUAAGGCCAGCAAAGCAUUUUUAUAUAAUUAGUCGCUAAAAGUAGCUAAAAAGACAAAUGCAGAACGCAGACUGAAACAAAAUUUGGCUCGUGCAAAUGGACUUUAAACACAGAUAACCUUCACUGCUACUAUUUGACUUGAUCCUACCAAGAAAAAAAAAAAAAGAGGAGGCACAAACCUAAGAGGAGGGAGCUCAGCCUCCAGAAGUUCAUGACCUCACAAAAUCAAAUGCCUGCUGCACAGGCUCCACUUUAGAUGACGCUUGUGUUAAUUUAAGCGUAAUGAUUCUCCCUUUCUGUUAACAGAAAUACACGAGGGCUAAUUCUAACCCUGUCCACAGCAGAACAGAGCCAUACAAAUUGCACCGGCUUACUGGAGAAUUUAGCCCAUAGAAAUCUGGCCCAGAUUCUUUAUCAGGUUUGAUCAUCUUUUACAUAGAAAAUGGAUCUUGCUAGAAGGCUGGGGCAGAAGUGGUGAUGGCAAAAGAAUAAAAACAGGUAAUAUGGGUAAAUGCUUGCUCUAAAACAUCACUUGAUGGCUGCUGUCAAGAACGCAAAAACCACCCCACUGCAUGCCUUUAACCUCCAAUGGCAGAUUAUGGAGACGGGGUUAAACAACAGUGGGGUUCUGCAAGUGAAAACAAAAUGCCUGGCCUCAGGUUUUUAAUAAACACUCAAAUUUGGAAAGCAUUCCCACAGUUUAAGAUUUC